Molecule: ribosomal RNA, 1285 nt
Filed under: uncultured Bacillus sp.
Lineage: Bacteria; Bacillati; Bacillota; Bacilli; Caryophanales; Bacillaceae
Description: bacterial SSU rRNA
Rfam family: Bacterial small subunit ribosomal RNA
Source: RNAcentral
UUCCUGAUGUUAGCGGCGGACGGGGUGAGUAACACGUGGGUAACCUGCCUGUAWGACUGGGAUAACUCCGGGAAACCGGGGCUAAUACCGGAUGGUUGUUUGAACCGCAUGGUUCAAACAUAAAAGGUGGCUUCGGCUACCACUUACAGAUGGACCCGCGGCGCAUUAGCUAGUUGGUGAGGUAAYGGCUCACCAAGGCAACGAUGCGUAGCCGACCUGAGAGGGUGAUCGGCCACACUGGGACUGAGACACGGCCCAGACUCCUACGGGAGGCAGCAGUAGGGAAUCUUCCGCAAUGGACGAAAGUCUGACGGAGCAACGCCGCGUGAGUGAUGAAGGUUUUCGGAUCGUAAAGCUCUGUUGUUAGGGAAGAACAAGUACCGUUCGAAUAGGGCGGUACCUUGACGGUACCUAACCAGAAAGCCACGGCUAACUACGUGCCAGCAGCCGCGGUAAUACGUAGGUGGCAAGCGUUGUCCGGAAUUAUUGGGCGUAAAGGGCUCGCAGGCGGUUUCUUAAGUCUGAUGUGAAAGCCCCCGGCUCAACCGGGGAGGGUCAUUGGAAACUGGGGAACUUGAGUGCAGAAGAGGAGAGUGGAAUUCCACGUGUAGCGGUGAAAUGCGUAGAGAUGUGGAGGAACACCAGUGGCGAAGGCGACUCUCUGGUCUGUAACUGACGCUGAGGAGCGAAAGCGUGGGGAGCGAACAGGAUUAGAUACCCUGGUAGUCCACGCCGUAAACGAUGAGUGCUAAGUGUUAGGGGGUUUCCGCCCCUUAGUGCUGCAGCUAACGCAUUAAGCACUCCGCCUGGGGAGUACGGUCGCAAGACUGAAACUCAAAGGAAUUGACGGGGGCCCGCACAAGCGGUGGAGCAUGUGGUUUAAUUCGAAGCAACGCGAAGAACCUUACCAGGUCUUGACAUCCUCUGACAAUCCUAGAGAUAGGACGUCCCCUUCGGGGGCAGAGUGACAGGUGGUGCAUGGUUGUCGUCAGCUCGUGUCGUGAGAUGUUGGGUUAAGUCCCGCAACGAGCGCAACCCUUGAUCUUAGUUGCCAGCAUUCAGUUGGGCACUCUAAGGUGACUGCCGGUGACAAACCGGAGGAAGGUGGGGAUGACGUCAAAUCAUCAUGCCCCUUAUGACCUGGGCUACACACGUGCUACAAUGGACAGAACAAAGGGCAGCGAAACCGCGAGGUUAAGCCAAUCCCACAAAUCUGUUSUCAGUUCGGAUCGCAGUCUGCAACUCGACUGCGUGAAGCUGGAAUCGCUAGUAAUCGCGGAUCAGC